GACGAACGCUGGCGGCGUGCUUAACACAUGCAAGUCGAACGGAAAGGCCCUGCUUUUGUGGGGUGCUCGAGUGGCGAACGGGUGAGUAACACGUGAGUAACCUGCCCUUGUCUUUGGGAUAACUUCAGGAAACUGGGGCUAAUACCGGAUAGGAGCUCCUGCUGCAUGGUGGGGGGUGGAAAGUUUCGGCGGUUGGGGCUGGUCUCGCGGGUUAUCAGCUUGUUGGUGGGGUAGUGGCUUACCAAGGCUUUGACGGGUAGCCGGCCUGAGAGGGUGACCGGCCACAUUGGGACUGAGAUACGGCCCAGACUCCUACGGGAGGCAGCAGUGGGGAAUAUUGCACAAUGGGCGGAAGCCUGAUGCAGCAACGCCGCGUGCGGGAUAACGGCCUUCGGGUUGUAAACCGCUUUCGCCUGUGACGAAGCGUGAGUGACGGUAAUGGGUAAAGAAGCACCGGCUAACUACGUG
RNAcentral lists this ribosomal RNA (468 nucleotides) under uncultured bacterium. RNAcentral's name for it is "partial 16S ribosomal RNA". It matches the Rfam family "Bacterial small subunit ribosomal RNA", at positions 28 to 507 of the family's 1533-position model. The record is from RNAcentral.